AGCGAACGCUGGCGGCGUGCUUAACACAUGCAAGUCGCGCGGGAAAGAGACUUUCGGUCUUGAGUAGAGCGGCGGACGGGUGCGUAAGACGCGGGUGACCUAUCCGAGAGGCGGGAUAACCCAGCGAAAGCGGGGCUAAUACCGGAUGAGCCCCCAGGCGGAAACGCGCGGGGGCAAAGGAUGCUACUCGAUAGUGGCGAUGUCCUCACGGAGGGGCCCACGGCCUAUCAGCAGUUGGUGUGGUAACGGCGCACCAA
This 257-nucleotide ribosomal RNA is filed under the name uncultured bacterium. RNAcentral's name for it is "partial 16S ribosomal RNA". It matches the Rfam family "Bacterial small subunit ribosomal RNA", at positions 30 to 271 of the family's 1533-position model. The record is from RNAcentral.